GGGGGUAUAGCUCAGUUGGUAGAGCAAAUGACUCUUAAUCAUUGGGUCUAGGGUUCGAGUCCCUAUGCCCCCA
RNAcentral lists this transfer RNA (73 nucleotides) under Streptococcus suis. Its description in RNAcentral is "tRNA-Lys". It matches the Rfam family "tRNA". From Rfam's summary of the family: Transfer RNA (tRNA) molecules are approximately 80 nucleotides in length. Their secondary structure includes four short double-helical elements and three loops (D, anti-codon, and T loops). Further hydrogen bonds mediate the characteristic L-shaped molecular structure. tRNAs have two regions of fundamental functional importance: the anti-codon, which is responsible for specific mRNA codon recognition, and the 3' end, to which the tRNAs corresponding amino acid is attached (by aminoacyl-tRNA synthetases). tRNAs cope with the degeneracy of the genetic code in two manners: having more than one tRNA (with a specific anti-codon) for a particular amino acid; and 'wobble' base-pairing, i.e. permitting non-standard base-pairing at the 3rd anti-codon position. Lineage: Bacteria; Bacillati; Bacillota; Bacilli; Lactobacillales; Streptococcaceae. RNAcentral also lists the same sequence under 4 other names. The record is from RNAcentral.